RNAcentral lists this ribosomal RNA (422 nucleotides) under uncultured bacterium. RNAcentral's name for it is "bacterial SSU rRNA". It matches the Rfam family "Bacterial small subunit ribosomal RNA", at positions 355 to 774 of the family's 1533-position model. The record is from RNAcentral.
UGAGGAAUAUUGGACAAUGGGCGCAAGCCUGAUCCAGCCAUGCCGCGUGCAGGAAGAAGCAUCUAUGGUGUGUAAACUGCUUUUGUACGGGAAGAAACACUCCUACGUGUAGGAGCUUGACGGUACCGUAAGAAUAAGGAUCGGCUAACUCCGUGCCAGCAGCCGCGGUAGUACGGAGGAUCCAAGCGUUAUCCGGAAUCAUUGGGUUUAAAGGGUCCGUAGGCGGUUUAAUAAGUCAGUGGUGAAAGCCCAUCGCUCAACGAUGGAACGGCCAUUGAUACUGCUAGACUUGAAUUACAAGGAAGUAACUAGAAUAUGUAGUGUAGCGGUGAAAUGCUUAGAUAUUACAUGGAAUACCAAUUGCGAAGGCAGGUUACUACUUGUGGAUUGACGCUGAUGGACGAAAGCGUGGGGAGCGAACA